ACUUUGUUGUUAAGAGGCUUGAGGUUAUCAUGAUGCAAAAGAGAUUCAGUCAACUUGGAGGUCUUCAACUUGACAGAGAUGUUCGAGCCCUUGUGAGCUACUUCUCCAACAUGACCCAGAGGACUGUUAGGGACAAAUUUGCUCGUCUAACCCAAAUGGCUACAAUAUUAAACUUGGAGAAGGUAUCUGAAAUUCUGGAUUUCUGGGGUGAAAACUCAGGACCCAUGACCUGGAGACUUACUCCAGCUGAGGUUAGAAGAGUGUUGAGUUUGAGAGUUGACUUCAAAUCUGAAGCAAUAGCGGCUCUUAAGCUGUAACCUUUUUUUAUGGUUUAUUUUGUUCGAUAUCUCUUUAUAAGCUAGAUGAUGUUACAUUUUUUCGGGUUUAUUUAACUUCUAUAAGAGAUUGUUACAUGAAAUCUAUGAUUUCUUGUUAGUUCUUCUAUUUUUACUCCCACCCGAAUACUUUAUUAAAUUUCUUCUUAUUCCUUGUCUUAACGUGUCUCUUUUGCAUGUUUUAUCUUCAAAGCAGUUCGUUGAUUGUUGUCACAGUGAUUAUGUAUGUCUGACGAUGUGUGUUCAGGUUGAGCUUGGCAUUAUUUGUAUGCUAUUUGGAUUUUCUUUUUAGGUAAUCCAGGCACUGUUAGCGGGCCAUUAGCUCCCCUUGUUCCAGCAAUUUUACAUUGCUUAUCAAUUGGUUCAAAUAUGAAGGGAACUUUGGCAUAACUAGGAAAGUUGAUGUCACAAGACCAGGAGGUCACAGGUUUAAGCCGUGGAAACAGUUUCUUGCAAAAAUGCAAGGAAAGGUUGUGUACGAUAGACCCUUUGGCCCUUCCCCGACCCAACGCGUAACAGGAUAACUUCAUAUGGUAAAAGGAGGAAUUAGAGAAGAGAGUUAAGGACAUGAUUGAGAAAGCCGCGGCGUUGGAGAAGAAAUUGGUUGAGAAAGAAAGGAUUAUUACUGAAAGAUUUGCUGAUAACAAUAUUAAUGGCAUUCCUGAGGAUGAUGAUAAAGUUGGAUUUUUCGGUGGUGAAGUAAAUUUGCCACUGGUUGCUGGAUCAUCACUAGUUGCAGUUGCUGUUGUUGGUGUUAUUUGGUAUCUUCGAUAUGGAAGAAAAACAGUGUAAACCCUUAGCUUGAUCUUGAAUAUGUUUUUAGUCUUUUUGGUUUUGUGCUGAUCAAGAUAUCGAAUUUACAGUUUUGAUAGUUGUUUGGUUAUGUUGGAUUACUAGUUAACUUUUUUGUCUUAAUCAGAUAAUAGAUUACACUAUUAUGGUUAUUAGCUUAUGGUGCUGAAAUAUGUUUGUUUGCUAAGGUGGAGAUAGUUGACAUACUUCUAUUAGUGCUUCUUUCUUGUUUCCACGAGUUCGAUUACAAUGGAUUUGUAGUUUUUGCUUUGUGAUGUAAUUGCUUAAAGAGUUUCUGAAUCUGUAUGUAAUAAUGUGUUUUUGUUGAAAUGAUUGAAUUGCUUAAACACUUUUUGAUUGCUUC
This is a long non-coding RNA of Capsicum annuum, 1491 nucleotides long. RefSeq lists it as uncharacterized. The record is from RefSeq and is a predicted model, not a curated record. NCBI's taxonomy places the organism in Eukaryota, Viridiplantae, Streptophyta, Magnoliopsida, Solanales, Solanaceae. The transcript is spliced from 2 exons.